AGUGAACGCUGGCGGUAGGCCUAACACAUGCAAGUCGAACGGCAGCACAGUAAGAGCUUGCUCUUACGGGUGGCGAGUGGCGGGCGGGUGAGGAAUACAUCGGAAUCUACUUUUUCGUGGGGGAUAACGUAGGGAAACUUACGCUAAUACCGCCUACGACCUACGGGUGAAAGCAGGGGAUCUUCGGACCUUGCGCGAUUGAAUGAGACGAUGUCGGAUUAGCUAGUUGGCGGGGUAAAGGCCAACCAAGGCGACGAUCCGUAGCUGGUCUGAGAGGAUGAUCAGCCACACUGGAACUGAGACACGGUCCAGACUCCUACGGGAGGCAGCAGUGGGGAAUAUUGGACAAUGGGCGCAAGCCUGAUCCAGCCAUACCGCGUGGGUGAAGAAGGCCUUCGGGUUGUAAAGCCCUUUUGUUGGGAAAGAAAAGCAGCAGGUUAAUACCCCGCUGUUCUGACGGUACCCAAAGAAUAAGCACCGGCUAACUUCGUG
RNAcentral lists this ribosomal RNA (492 nucleotides) under uncultured bacterium. RNAcentral's name for it is "partial 16S ribosomal RNA". It matches the Rfam family "Bacterial small subunit ribosomal RNA", at positions 29 to 507 of the family's 1533-position model. The record is from RNAcentral.